AUUGAACGCUGGCGGCAUGCCUUACACAUGCAAGUCGAACGGCAGCACGGGUGCUUGCACCUGGUGGCGAGUGGCGAACGGGUGAGUAAUACAUCGGAACGUACCUUAUCGUGGGGGAUAACGCAGCGAAAGCUGUGCUAAUACCGCAUACGCCCUGAGGGGGAAGGCGGGGGAUCGCAAGACCUCGCGCGAUUAGAGCGGCCGAUGCCUGAUUAGCUUGUUGGUGGGGUAAAAGCCCACCAAGGCGACGAUCAGUAGCUGGUCUGAGAGGACGAUCAGCCACACGGGGACUGAGACACGGCCCAGACUCCUACGGGGGGCAGCAGUGGGGAAGUUUGGACAAUGGGGGCAACCCUGAUCCAGCAAUGCCGCGUGAGUGAAGAAGGCCUUCGGGUUGUAAAGCUCUUUUGUCAGGGAAGAAACACCGGCUCUAACACAGUCCGGGAAUGACGGUACCUGAAGAAUAAGCACCGGCUAACUACGUGCCAGCCGCCGCCGUAA
RNAcentral lists this ribosomal RNA (501 nucleotides) under uncultured bacterium. RNAcentral's name for it is "partial 16S ribosomal RNA". It matches the Rfam family "Bacterial small subunit ribosomal RNA", at positions 29 to 523 of the family's 1533-position model. The record is from RNAcentral.